AUUGAACGCUGGCGGCAGGCCUAACACAUGCAAGUCGAGCGGAGCGGCGGACGGGUGAGUAAUGCCUAGGAAUCUGCCUGGUAGUGGGGGAUAACGUCCGGAAACGGGCGCUAAUACCGCAUACUAUCAGAUGAGCCUAGGUCGGAUUAGCUUGUUGGUGGGGUAAAGGCCUACCAAGGCGACGAUCCGUAACUGGGCUGACAGGAUGAUCAGUCACACUGGAACUGAGAAACGGGCCAGACUCCUACGGGAGGCAGAAGUGGGGAAUAUUGGACAAGGGGCGAAAGCCUGAUCCAGCCAUGACGCGGGUAUGAAGAAGGCCUUCGGGUUGUAAAGUACUUUCAGCGGGGAGGCGGUACGGGAAGAAGAAGCACCGGCUAACUCCGUGCCAGCAGCCGCGGUAAUAA
This 407-nucleotide ribosomal RNA is filed under the name uncultured bacterium. Its description in RNAcentral is "partial 16S ribosomal RNA". It matches the Rfam family "Bacterial small subunit ribosomal RNA", at positions 29 to 526 of the family's 1533-position model. The record is from RNAcentral.